Molecule: long non-coding RNA, 2023 nt
Filed under: Anas platyrhynchos platyrhynchos (common mallard)
Lineage: Eukaryota; Metazoa; Chordata; Aves; Anseriformes; Anatidae
Description: lncRNA (ENSAPLG00000026965.1)
Source: RNAcentral
GUGUCAUUUUCUUCCUUCCAAGUGCCUACAGCAUAGUUUAGGUAGUGGAAGAAAUAGCAUGACAAACUGUCCCCAAUAGGCUUGUGGGUUGUCCCCUUUUGACAUUGCACCUUUUGGUAGUCUGGCAUUCAUCUGUGCUAAGCAUUAUUCCUCCCAUCUACUGUUAAGCAUUUGGCCUAAAUCUAUGUGAUAUAGAAAUGUGUCUAACUUUAAACCUUUGAACUAUUAUUCUGACUGCAGUAUGAUUACUAUUUAGCAACAACAGACCCCAGAGGAUUGGACCAAAAACUCUGUUCUAGCUAUUUUUAGCUGUUCCAUUGUUCCAGCUAUUUUUAUAAUUGUGUUUUUUCGUAGUUCAUAAAGUCAUAGGUGGCAAGGUACAGGCAUGCACAAGAAGUUGUGUACAACUGGCUUUCAGUACAUGAGGUCUAGGUUUACAUCCCUGCCCUGUCUCAGCAUGAUCUAUGUUUUAGAGCAGAGUUUUCAAGUUAGGGCAGCUAUUUCUGGAUCUUAUCAUGGCCUUGAAAUGUUGCAGCAGCCUUGGAAGAAUUUUAGGAAUGUCCCCAAGGAAGCAAUGAAUUUCUGAUUUGCAUAGAAAGGGACAGAGGUAAGGAGAGAGGAAGAGCCUGCUUAUGCACAUUUAAUUCCUGAUAUUGCUCUCCAGAACUCAAUGGGAAGAGACCUGUGACAUGAAACCUGUACUGCUGAAUGAGGAGCACACCAGAAAUGUGAAUCAUCACAGAUAACAUGAUACUGGAUAGGAAUCUAAAACUCAAGACUGUGAUGAAUGCCAGAGAGAGAGAGAAGUUUCAUCUUGCACUCAAAGGUAGUCAGAAUACUGGAGUAGGGUGCAGUUGGUACAUGAAAGUGACUGUAAUCUUCUGCUAGCUUUAGGAUCCAAUUCUAUGAUAUACAUCAAGUCAAGGGGGUGUUUCUAGGAUGAUGUUCCCUGUCACCAAUAUGCUGGGCAACUUUAAGGCACAUUAGACUGCCAAGAACUUUUAGAGACCAGAGUUCUUUAAGAAGGUAGUUGGUUAGAACUCAGUUCAAAUUACAGUUUAUUGUUUUGUUUUUCUCUCUUCUACUUGCUUCCAACCCUGAAAUUAGGAUUUAAGAUUUUCUUCUUCUUGACUAAGCUUGCACUAAUUUUCCCCAUCAUCUUUCAAGUGCUAGAGUUGAGGCCAAGGGAGGCUGACAAAUUCAGCUCACGUUCUGUCACUGGAGGUAAAGUAUGCAAACACCAGUCUAAUGUUCCCUCCAUAAGUUGCACCCUGACAUGAGACUGAAUGCUCUCAGCCAUGCUGGAAGGGUCAUUGGGGGCCUGGGAUUGCGAAGUGCUGUAUUGAGAAAGUUGUUCCUGGCAGGCACAGAGAACACCCCUUCUUCCAGGAACAGGUAACAAAGAGAGACCCCUCAUAGCAGACCCCCAGGGAACCAUUCAUACCACUCCAUGGUUUCAAGUGAAAAUGCAGCAGUUCUCAGGACAGAAGUGAAGGCUGAAAUUAAAAUAAUCAACAGAAAAUGGACCAUACUGAUUUGUGAGAUUAUGUUUGAAAAAACUAUUUACAACCCUUUUCUACAAAGUUGCUACUACUGUGAAAUAUUCUGUGGAAGGUGUUUUCAUUAGAAUAACAAAAGGUAAUUCCUUUAUUCUAAACAUUUUUGCAGAAUUAGGUCUUUAGUAAACCCUUCCAUCUGAGACUCUCUGCUGUAAAAUACUAAUCUGUUCUACUUAUUCUGGAAGGUAUCCUGUAGUUUACUCACACCAGUAGGUGUUAACGCUGUGUUUGUUUGUUUGUUUGUUUGUUUUUUAGUCAUUUCACUCCAUAAAUCAUCUCACUAUUCUGUCAUGCUUCAAGAAAAUCACCAUGGAAAAUGUUUUAAAGUCUGGUUAUAAGCAGACCCAGGCUUGGAGUAGGCCAUUAAUGCUAAAGUACAGACUAGCCAGGUUAUAUUAAUGAAGAUUCUCCAUAAAUGAACAGAAUGCAGACAAUAAAAAUAGGUAUAUAUAAAAACUAAGACA